Molecule: long non-coding RNA, 710 nt
Organism: Entelurus aequoreus (snake pipefish)
Lineage: Eukaryota; Metazoa; Chordata; Actinopteri; Syngnathiformes; Syngnathidae
Exons: 3
Source: RefSeq, a predicted model, not a curated record
CCCUGGAGUUACAAAUUCCGAUGGGUAACAGAUUUCGGUACAACACCUGCUAGCAUCACACAGUGAAGCAUGGAGCAGCUAACGUGGACAAAAUGACCACACAAACAAAUGCCACCGCAGCAGUGUGGGAAUAUUUCAGUUGAAACAUUUGGAACAAGAUGAGACUAUCAACACCGAGAAGCCAGGUUGCCGAAUAUGCGUGACUACAACAACGCCCACUUGACAAACAACCAGCUGACGGUCUACUCACUUCGCGUUUGGACAGCUGAAUGAACUGAGGAUGAACUACUGCUCCUAGAAGCGAGCAUGAAGAAGAGGGUGAGACGUUGGAGCAGACGGAAGCCGAGAGAGUGAGGUCGGCGUGACUCGCAGCUGCAGAUGUGGAAUUUGGAGACGAGCUAUUUCGACAUAAAGGGAGUGCUUACCCCCAAAUACUCCGGAAAACACGUCCCUGGCCAGCUGGACCAAACAGAAAACUGUCCAAUCGAAUUCCUCAUGACUGUCCCACCGUUUCUCAACCAAGGUGCUCUGUUUGUGUGUGUGUACUUGGUCCUUGUCACGUGAUCCAAACUACAGUUGUGACGUAGGCGUCAGACACCCCCGCCCCAACCCAUGCCCCCAUAUCCAAGCCUGCCAUGUCCAAAUAGAGGCACCCCAUGGCACCCUCCCUGCCAAAUAUAUCCCUUACGUCACAGGCGUGUCAAACUCCU